CCCAGACAGCCAGGAUGUUGGCUUAGAAGCAGCCAUCAUUUAAAGAAAGCGUAAUAGCUCACUGGUCGAGUCGGCCUGCGCGGAAGAUGUAACGGGGCUAAACCAUGCACCGAAGCUGCGGCAGCGACACUGUGUGUUGUUGGGUAGGGGAGCGUUCUGUAAGCCUGCGAAGGUGGCCUGUGAGGGUUGCUGGAGGUAUCAGAAGUGCGAAUGCUGACAUAAGUAACGAUAAAGCGGGUGAAAAGCCCGCUCGCCGGAAGACCAAGGGUUCCUGUCCAACGUUAAUCGGGGCAGGGUGAGUCGACCCCUAAGGCGAGGCCGAAAGGCGUAGUCGAUGGGAAACGGGUUAAUAUUCCCGUACUUGGUGUUACUGCGAAGGGGGGACGGAGAAGGCUAUGUUGGCCGGGCGACGGUUGUCCCGGUUUAAGCGUGUAGGUGUGUGUUCCAGGUAAAUCCGGUUCACUUUAACACUGAGGCGUGAUGACGAGGCACUACGGUGCUGAAGCAACAAAUGCCCUGCUUCCAGGAAAAGCCUCUAAGCAUCAGGUAACAUCAAAUCGUACCCCAAACCGACACAGGUGGUCAGGUAGAGAAUACCAAGGCGCUUGAGAGAACUCGGGUGAAGGAACUAGGCAAAAUGGUGCCGUAACUUCGGGAGAAGGCACGCUGACACGUAGGUGAAGUGAUUUACUCAUGGAGCUGAAGUCAGUCGAAGAUACCAGCUGGCUGCAACUGUUUAUUAAAAACACAGCACUGUGCAAACACGAAAGUGGACGUAUACGGUGUGACGCCUGCCCGGUGCCGGAAGGUUAAUUGAUGGGG
This 822-nucleotide ribosomal RNA is filed under the name Salmonella enterica subsp. enterica serovar Cerro. Its description in RNAcentral is "partial 23S ribosomal RNA". It matches the Rfam family "Bacterial large subunit ribosomal RNA", at positions 1084 to 1889 of the family's 2925-position model. The record is from RNAcentral. Lineage: Bacteria; Pseudomonadati; Pseudomonadota; Gammaproteobacteria; Enterobacterales; Enterobacteriaceae.